This 232-nucleotide long non-coding RNA is filed under the name Nicotiana benthamiana. Its description in RNAcentral is "long non-coding RNA (NBEN_LNC041758)". Lineage: Eukaryota; Viridiplantae; Streptophyta; Magnoliopsida; Solanales; Solanaceae. The record is from RNAcentral.
UAGGUUUUUAUAUCUAAAUGUUAACCAUCUAAACAGAAAUUAUUGACAUUUAUUAUGUUUUAACGAUUAAUAAAACUAGGUUAUGUAUAUGUAUUAAGAACAAAGUUCUUAGAAUUGAGUAACUGAAACUACAGUAACUUGUAAAAGACUUAGAGAUCCUGGAGUGAGUUAUUUUAGUGUCGGAGAUUUACCGAAAACAACCUCGUGAUCCAUGUUCUCUCUCUGAACCAUC